This 115-nucleotide ribosomal RNA is filed under the name Salmonella enterica subsp. enterica serovar Weltevreden. Lineage: Bacteria; Pseudomonadati; Pseudomonadota; Gammaproteobacteria; Enterobacterales; Enterobacteriaceae. The record is from RNAcentral.
UGUGGGGUCNUAGCGCGGUGGUCCCACCUGACCCCAUGCCGAACUCAGAAGUGAAACGCCGUAGCGCCGAUGGUAGUGUGGGGUCUCCCCAUGCGAGAGUAGGGAACUGCCAGAC